UCCGUAGGUGAACCUGCGGAAGGAUCACU
RNAcentral lists this ribosomal RNA (29 nucleotides) under Cystofilobasidium sp. CanS-31. RNAcentral describes it as "partial 18S ribosomal RNA". The record is from RNAcentral. RNAcentral also lists the same sequence under 1 other name. Lineage: Eukaryota; Fungi; Basidiomycota; Tremellomycetes; Cystofilobasidiales; Cystofilobasidiaceae.